AUCAGCUACUAUAUUUCUAUGAUUGGUAUGCUAUUGCAUGUGUUGUGUUGGUGUUUUUGGUUUUUUUUUCUGAUUUGUAGGUUUUUGUAAUAUAAUACGCCUGAACAUUAAGAUUCUAAACUGUAAACUACACUGAAGACUUGUAAUUAGAUAGACGUACCUCAAUAUUAGGCAGCAAUCAAACACAAGUAUGACUAAAACAUAGAAAUAUCGAAGUUCUAAGAAGACAUGAAAAAGGUGUACACG
RNAcentral lists this long non-coding RNA (246 nucleotides) under Mytilus galloprovincialis (Mediterranean mussel). Lineage: Eukaryota; Metazoa; Mollusca; Bivalvia; Mytilida; Mytilidae. The record is from RNAcentral.